This 75-nucleotide transfer RNA is filed under the name compost metagenome. Its description in RNAcentral is "tRNA-Val". It matches the Rfam family "tRNA". From Rfam's summary of the family: Transfer RNA (tRNA) molecules are approximately 80 nucleotides in length. Their secondary structure includes four short double-helical elements and three loops (D, anti-codon, and T loops). The record is from RNAcentral.
GCUUCGUUAGCUCAGCGGGAGAGCAGCGCCUUCACAUGGCGAAUGUCGGGAGUUCAAUCCUCUCACGAAGCACCA